GGAGUUGGUUGUACCAGAAGCAGUUGAGCUAACUAUUCGUAGAGGCAGGCUGCCAAGGUAUGAUCGGUAACUGGGGUGAAGUCGUAACAAGGUAGCCCUAGGGGAACCUGGGGCUGGAUCACCUCCUUU
RNAcentral lists this ribosomal RNA (129 nucleotides) under Bacteroidales bacterium. RNAcentral's name for it is "partial 16S ribosomal RNA". It matches the Rfam family "Bacterial small subunit ribosomal RNA", at positions 1407 to 1533 of the family's 1533-position model. The record is from RNAcentral. Lineage: Bacteria; Pseudomonadati; Bacteroidota; Bacteroidia; Bacteroidales.